This 580-nucleotide ribosomal RNA is filed under the name uncultured bacterium. Its description in RNAcentral is "bacterial SSU rRNA". It matches the Rfam family "Bacterial small subunit ribosomal RNA", at positions 102 to 669 of the family's 1533-position model. The record is from RNAcentral.
ACGGGUGAGUAACACGUAGGCAACCUGCCCUCAGGACUGGGAUAACUACCGGAAACGGUAGCUAAUACCAGAUAAUUCACUUUUUCGCAUGGAGAAGUGAGGAAAGACGGAGCAAUCUGUCACCGGAGGAUGGGCCUGCGGCGCAUUAGCUAGUUGGAGAGGUAACGGCUCCCCAAGGCGACGAUGCGUAGCCGACCUGAGAGGGCGAUCGGCCACACUGGGACCGAGACACGGCCCAGACUCCUACGGGAGGCAGCAGUAGGGAAUCUUCCGCAAUGGGCGAAAGCCUGACGGAGCAACGCCGCGUGAGUGAUGAAGGUUUUCGGAUCGUAAAGCUCUGUUGCCAAGGAAGAACGUCCUUAAGAGUAACUGCUUAAGGAGUGACGGUACUUGAGAAGAAAGCCCCGGCUAACUACGUGCCAGCAGCCGCGGUAAUACGUAGGGGGCAAGCGUUGUCCGGAAUUAUUGGGCGUAAAGCGCGCGCAGGCGGUCAUUUAAGUCUGGUGUUUAAGCCCGGGGCUCAACCCCGGAUCGCACGGGAAACUGGAUGACUUGAGUGCAGAAGAGGAGAGUGGAAUUC